This is a long non-coding RNA of Harpia harpyja (harpy eagle), 644 nucleotides long. RefSeq lists it as uncharacterized. NCBI's taxonomy places the organism in Eukaryota, Metazoa, Chordata, Aves, Accipitriformes, Accipitridae. The record is from RefSeq and is a predicted model, not a curated record. The transcript has 2 exons.
GCACCGGAGCGGGCCCGCCGGCCCCGAGGCUCUCUCCCGGGCCUGAGGCGGUCCCGCCGCCCAGCCGUGCCGGGUGCUUUUGCUGAGGGAAGCCGCCUCCCGCCGGAGUGCGGAGGGCGCUGGGCGGGAGAGCUGACCGCUGCCCCCGCUUCUCUGAAGGCAGGCGAAGGGCCCCGUCCGUCCCCAGCACUGUAGCUGUUGGGGCAAAGCGUAAAGGGCUGAAGCUUUGGACAUUUCCCAACCUUAACGGCAAGAACGGCUCCCCGUUGAUAACAGCGUGCGUAAGGUCCGUGCUGUUAGUCAGACACGCGGAAGGGAUGUUGCUGAGGAAACCCGGUUGAUAAAAUCGUCCUCAAGUGUGACUGAAACCCACCGUUCCCCUCCGAGCCAAAAGGAAAAGAGUGAAGUAAAGAUAACGCGGGCCUGGGGGGCACGUCUGAGCCAAGCCCUCCAGGAAGGAUGCCUCCACACCGUGUGUGCCGCAGCUGUUGCACUUUACACCAGGCAGCUGAAGAACUAGAAAGAAAACAAUUACAGUAAUAGUUAAAAGACCCAGCUGUGCCCUACCACAGGCUUAUUACAGCCCAUGAAAGUUAUUGUUGAAUCAAAUUUAAUGUAGACUUUGAGUUAAUUAAGCAUAGGCU